RNAcentral lists this unclassified non-coding RNA (376 nucleotides) under uncultured Alicyclobacillaceae bacterium. RNAcentral's name for it is "contains 16S-23S intergenic spacer region". The record is from RNAcentral. Lineage: Bacteria; Bacillati; Bacillota; Bacilli; Caryophanales; Alicyclobacillaceae.
UCCGACUUGCGCCGGCAGUCACCUGUGAGUCCCCAUCAAUACAUGCUGGUAACACAGAUCAAGGGUUGCGCUCGUUGCGGGACUUAACCCAACAUCUCACGACACGAGCUGACGACAACCAUGCACCACCUGUCUCCUCUGCCCCGAAGGGACGUUCUAUCUCUAGAACUGUCAGAGGGAUGUCAAGCCCUGGUAAGGUUCUUCGCGUUGCUUCGAAUUAAACCACAUGCUCCACUGCUUGUGCGGGCCCCCGUCAAUUCCUUUGAGUUUCAGUCUUGCGACCGUACUCCCCAGGCGGAGUGCUUAUUGUGUUUACUUCGGCACUGAGGGUGGUACCCCCCAACACCUAGCACUCAUCGUUUACGGCGUGGACUAC